RNAcentral lists this ribosomal RNA (440 nucleotides) under uncultured bacterium. Its description in RNAcentral is "partial 16S ribosomal RNA". It matches the Rfam family "Bacterial small subunit ribosomal RNA", at positions 338 to 795 of the family's 1533-position model. The record is from RNAcentral.
CCUACGGGCGGCAGCAGUGGGGGAUAUUGCACAAUGGGGGAAACCCUGAUGCAGCGACGCCGCGUGAAGGAAGAAGUAUUUCGGUAUGUAAACUUCUAUCAGCAGGGAAGAAAAUGACGGUACCUGACGAAGAAGCCCCGGCUAACUACGUGCCAGCAGCCGCGGUAAUACGUAGGGGGCAAGCGUUAUCCGGAUUUACUGGGUGUAAAGGGGGCGUAGGUGGUGUAGCAAGUCAGAAGUGAAAGCCCGGGGCUCAACUCCGGGACUGCUUUUGAAACUGUUGAACUAGAUUGCAGGAGGGGUAAGUGGAAUUCCUGGUGUAGCGGUGAAAUGCGUAGAUAUUAGGAGGAACACCAGUGGCGAAGGCGGCCUACUGGACUGUAAAUGACGCUGAGGCUCGAAAGCGUGGGGAGCAAACAGGAUUUGAUACCCGAGUAGUC